This 834-nucleotide ribosomal RNA is filed under the name uncultured bacterium. RNAcentral's name for it is "bacterial LSU rRNA". It matches the Rfam family "Bacterial large subunit ribosomal RNA", at positions 189 to 1003 of the family's 2925-position model. The record is from RNAcentral.
GGAAGUGAACCAUCUCAGUACCCGCAGGAAGAGAAAACAACAGUGAUUCCGCUAGUAGCGGCGAGCGAACGCGGAACAGCCCAAACCGGAGUGCUUGCAUUCCGGGGUUGUAGGGCCUGUCAGGCCGCAAGGCCGGCGAGUGAGCAACCAGCACGGUAGUCGAACGACCUGGAACGGUCGGUCACAGAGGGUGAGAACCCCGUAGACGAAACUGCGCUGGCUCGCUGGACAGGUUCCUGAGUACCACGGGACACGAGAAAUCCCGUGGGAAUCUGCGAGGACCAUCUCGCAAGGCUAAAUACUCUCUAGCGACCGAUAGUGAACCAGUACCGUGAGGGAAAGGUGAAAAGCACCCCUGUGAGGGGAGUGAAAUAGUACCUGAAACCGUAUGCCUACAAGCAGUGGGAGGGCUAUGCCUGGACUUCGGUCCGGGAAUGCCUGACCGCGUGCCUUUUGCAUAAUGAGCCGGCUAGUUGUUCUCAGUGGCGAGGUUAAGCGUAAGCGAGCCGCAGCGAAAGCGAGUCCGAAUGGGGCGUUUAGUCGCUGGGAACAGACGCGAANCGGGGUGAUCUACCCAUGGCCAGGGUGAAGUACGGGUAACACCGUAUGGAGGCCCGAACCAGUGUUGGUUGAAAACAGCUUGGAUGANCUGUGGGUAGGGGUGAAAGGCUUAUCAAACUCCGUGAUUGCCCGUUCUCUUCCAAAUGCUUUUAAGAGCAGCCUCGGAUGGUCGGUGGUGGUGGUAGAGCGCUGGAUGGACUAGGGGCCUUACCAGGUUACUGAAUCCAACCAAACUUCGAAUUCCAUCCGGGAGUGAGACAGUGGGGGCUAAGC